UACGUAGGGUGCAAGCGUUGUCCGGAAUUAUUGGGCGUAAAGAGCUCGUAGGCGGUUUGUCGCGUCUGCUGUGAAAACUCGGGGCUUAACUCCGGGCCUGCAGUGGGUACGGGCAGACUAGAGUGCGGUAGGGGAGACUGGAAUUCCUGGUGUAGCGGUGAAAUGCGCAGAUAUCAGGAGGAACACCGGUGGCGAAGGCGGGUCUCUGGACAGUUCCUGACACUGAGACACGAAGGCCAGGGGAGCAAACGGG
Molecule: ribosomal RNA, 253 nt
Filed under: uncultured bacterium
Lineage: Bacteria
Description: partial 16S ribosomal RNA
Rfam family: Bacterial small subunit ribosomal RNA
Source: RNAcentral